AUUAAAAAACCUAUCUUUCUUCCCCAAAGGCAAACCCGAUAGAACUCCUGAAACAAACCUAAUUAAAAAACCUCUCUUUCUUCCCCAAAAGCAAACCCAUUAAAACUCCUUAAACAAACCUAUUUUGCUAGCAGACUAAAGAAUCAACAAAGAAACAACAAAUCAAGCAAAAGAUUGUUAUCUAUCCUCUCUCAAACGCUGACCCAAGCACGACCAUGGGUGUUCCUCUCUCAAACGCAGACCCAAGCUCAACCAUGGGUGCCAACGUUUUCAAUCUCCGACCCGGCCGUUCUCUCUGGUCAGGGAAACACUAAUAGAAAAUUAAAUUCUACAAGUUUUGUAAGAAAAUAUUGUGGAUAUGAAUGGGUUUCGUAGUGGAGAUAGUAUUGAAGAGCCUCCCAACCCUCAAAAUCUAUCAACAAUCCUACAGGAAGGGGUUACUCAAUAUGUGGUUUGACCUAUAAAACUUCAAUGCUGCUCCAUGAUGGUCCUCUCAGGUUCUCACAUUUUCUUAUUUUGUAUUUUAAUUCCUUUUUCUAUUUGGUUGGAGAUUUUUAUUUUUAUUUUUCUUUUUUUUUUUGUUAUUAUUAGUAGCCUUGGUUGGAGUUUCUUAAUUCCUAUAAGAUAUUGUUUGAAAUAUAAAGUAUUUUGGCUGAAUUAUUAUGUAAGCCUCCAAUUAAGAAGUUGUAUAACUGACUGGAAACUCAGAUUCAGUUUGUUAUUUUCUAUUUGAUUAUUGAAUUCCCUGUAGAUUUUUUGUUUAGGGCAGGGUUGGAGUAGACUGUGUGUAUCUGUGGGAGUCUGUUUUAUAUCAUUAUCGGUUUAUUAAGUUUAAUCUAAACUGUAUAUGCAAUAUUGUGGCUCUAUUUGGAUUUUGAAGUUUAUUUUAUAUUAGAAGUAUUUGCCAUAUAAAAUAUUAGUAGUAAAUAGUGUUAGGGUAUGAAAAUAUCAGAACACAAGUACCGUUUUACAUAUAAUAUACCCGGCUGGCUCUGGUAAUUUAGUCUUUGCACAUUUGUGAUAUCAUUAUAACUACGGCGUGUAGCUCUGGACAGGUGCUUCCAAUAAUUGGGUUAUUGGAUUUAAUUUUGUGAAUUCUUAUCUGGGUUCAUGUAUGGCUGCCAAUGUCUGAAUUCUCAUUGUAAUUUUUGCACGAUUGGGUGUUGGUUACUUGAGAUUUUAAGUUUAUUUUAGGUUUCUAAUUGUGAUGGGAAUGCCCUGUUUUAAACAUAUUGUCUUUCAUUUCUAUUUGCUGGGAAAUCUAACUAAAUAUCCAACACAAACUUUGUGAUAUUGAUGGCUGACAGAUCGUUAUUAUUCUACUGUUAUAAGUAUGAAUAUUUGAUCUAAAUUCAAUGUGUUUCAAAUCCUACUGUAGUUGCAUGAGCCCUUUGUUGCAUGCCAUAAAUGACCUACGAAAAUCUUAGAUUAAAAUGAGAGGUAGCUAACCUAACUUCUAGCUAGCACUUCAAUUCUUCAAGAGACAAUGGAUCCUCUGUAAAUAAAUUGAAUCUAUAAAUAUUGAAGUUGUAAUGUCAUGUGUUCUGUGCAUUGUCCAUACCCUCCUUGCUUAAGAAGUGUCCAACAAUUACAUGUGAUAGGAGGGUCCCUUGAAGGGCCUGAAAUUAACAAUCUCAAUUCUCCGGUUCAUCUUUUCAAUUUCAACGUUGACCAUUACAUUUUAUGCAUGAAUGGCCUUUUUGUGAUGGUACGAAAGUGUUUAAUAAGGUCAGUUUAAUUGGCUCUGCUAGCCCUGAGAUGCAGUGUGUUUACAUUGGAAGAAAGAAAGGGCCACUGCAUUUCAAGCUGAAUGCUAAAUUGUACAAUGUCAUAUAUACAUCAUAGUAUUCAUUAUUGUACCAUAGAUAUAAGUUUAUAUAUAGAUAAUUGUUUUUUUUUUUAAUGAAUCCCGUGCAUUGCAGGAGAGUAUAACUUAUUGUCAACAAUACUAUGUCUACUAUCUUUAUGUAAUAUAAUAGGCUGGUGGAGAAUAACCAACCAAUAGUACAAAUGCCAAAGCAAUUCAAAGCACAAGUGACAAUUCAAGAAGAGAUGAACAUCAAUAGAAGAACCAUAAGUGAAAUAACAAAAGUUAUGUGGGACUCUGGUAAUGAGGUAUAGAAUUCAAGAGCAAUGUGCAACUCACACUAACAUUUGUACUCAAGGAAAACUAAAGGACAUAUUCAGUGACUAUUAUGAAGCAACAAAGGAAGAAAAUACAAAAAACGCUUUAAAGUUGUCUUUCAAUUUAUUUUAAAUAUUGAUUAAGUAGUUCUUUAAAUUUGUGUUUCAUACAUUUUAUGGAUAAUUGAGGAUGUUAAAGAUUUAAUUCUUCAUUUUAUUUUAAA
Molecule: long non-coding RNA, 2348 nt
Organism: Quercus robur (English oak)
Lineage: Eukaryota; Viridiplantae; Streptophyta; Magnoliopsida; Fagales; Fagaceae
Exons: 4
Source: RefSeq, a predicted model, not a curated record